This 305-nucleotide ribosomal RNA is filed under the name uncultured bacterium. RNAcentral's name for it is "partial 16S ribosomal RNA". It matches the Rfam family "Bacterial small subunit ribosomal RNA", at positions 508 to 807 of the family's 1533-position model. The record is from RNAcentral.
ACAGCAGCCGCCGCGGUAAUACGAAGGGUGCAAGCGUUAAUCGGAAUUACUGGGCGUAAAGCGUGCGUGGGCGGUUUGUUAAGUCUGUUGUGAAAUCCCCGGGCUCAACCUGGGAAUGGCAAUGGAUACUGGCAAGCUAGAGUGUGUCAGAGGAUGGUGGAAUUCCCGGUGUAGCGGUGAAAUGCGUAGAGAUCGGGAGGAACAUCAGUGGCGAAGGCGGCCAUCUGGGACAACACUGACGCUGAGGCACGAAAGCGUGGGGAGCAAACAGGAUUAGAUACCCCUGUAGUCCCUGUCUCUUAUAC